RNAcentral lists this long non-coding RNA (1496 nucleotides) under Coturnix japonica (Japanese quail). RNAcentral's name for it is "lncRNA (ENSCJPG00005001407.1)". Lineage: Eukaryota; Metazoa; Chordata; Aves; Galliformes; Phasianidae. The record is from RNAcentral.
GGGAUAAAAUGGCACCAAAAGGGGCCAAAAUGGUGACGUAAAUGGGAGACAAAAUGGCGGCCGUGGAAGGGGGACAAAAUGGCGGCCGUGGAAGGGGGACAAAAUGGCGGCCGUGGAAGGGAGACAAAAUGGCGUCGGUGGGUGACAGUAAAGACGUUUUAACCCCCAAAAAAUGCUUCUUUUUGCUUUUUUCUUCUCGAUUUUAUGGCAAUUUUGGGUUAAUUUGGGGGAAAAUUGGGUAUUUUGAGGGAUAUUGUGUUACUUUGGGGAAAAAUGGGUUAUUUUGUAGGGAAAUCAGGUCAACUUGAGGAAAAAUGGGAUAUUUUGGGGUAAAUUGGGUGAAAAUGGGGUAUUUUGAGAGAAAAUGGAUAAUUUGGGGGGAAAAUAGGAUUAAUUUGGUGGAAAAUUGGGGUUAUUUUGUGGAGAAAAAGGUGAAAAUGGUUUUAUUUUGUAUGAAAAUGGUUUAUUAAAAGUUUCUUUUACAGCGUUACCAAAAACCCUUUGUUUUAUUGUGGAUUUGUUUAGGCCUCACCCCAUCCCUGCCCCCCCAACCCCACCCCACACCUCAUAUAUGGGUCAAAAAGGGGUUUGGGGGGGGGGGUCUUGGGAUGGGUUUGGGGUUGGGGGGGUUUGGGGGGGGGGUUUGGGGGUGAAUAUGGGGGUGGGUUUGGGGUUGGGGGGGGGUUGUUGUAUUGAGGGGGGGUCCCCGCUACGUGCUGUGCUUCUGUCUCUUCCAGAAGCGUUUGACGUCGGGGUGACCCGCCGGGGUGACCACCAUGAGACGCCGGGUCGGGUUCUCAAACACCAACACCCCCAAAGAUCUGGCGUGGUCACGAAGGACCUCGAAAUCCACCUGGGACAGGAACUGGUUGUACAGCACCCCUGGGUGAUAAGGGGGGGGGGGGAAGAGAGAUAAGGGGGGGGUGAGGACAGGAAGAGAUGGGCCCAAGCCAUAGAGGUGGCCAUAAUGGCGGCACUAGGCCUCAGAUGGGCCCAAUGAUGGCCCCAACCCAUAGAGAAGGCCUUAAAGAUGGCGCCACCCCAUAGAGAUGGCCCCAGUGGUGGCACUAGGCCUUGGUAGGCCCCAAUGGUGGCACUAGGCCUCGGUAGGCCCCAAUGAUGGCACCAGGCCUUGGUAGGCCCCAAUGAUGGCACUAGGCCUUGGUAGGCCCCAAUGGUGGCACCAGGCCUCGGUAGGCCCCAAUGGCGGCACUAGGCCUUGGUAGGCCCCAAUGGUGGCACUAGGCCUUGGUAGGCCCCAAUGGUGGCACUAGGCCUCGGUAGGCCCCAAUGGCGGCACCAGGCCUUGGUAGGCCCCAAUGGUGGCACCAGGCCUCGGUAGGCCCCAGUGGUGGCACUAGGCCUCGGUAGGCCCCAAUGGCGGCACUAGGCCUUGGUAGGACCCAGUGGCGGCACUAGGCCUUGGUAGGACCCAGUGGUGGCACUAGGCCUUGGUAGGCCCCAAUGGCGGCACCAGGCCUUGGUAGGCCCCAAUG